CGCAGCACAUCGUUGUAGUUGGUCUGCUCCUUUUGGAAGUUUAUAGAGAAUUUUGCUCUUUUUGAAUUUAGUAUUUAUAGUUUCAUAUUAUAAUACUUGGUGUAUUUGUCCAUAAGUCCCUUGGCAAAGGAGCAUUAAAAACAAAGGUUUUACAUAACUAAUUCUCAUUUUUUUCAUUUUAAUAUGAUUCUUUGGCCUCUGAUUUCUUAGCUUUCUACCCUCUUUGGCAUUUUCUCCCAUCCCCGGAAGAAAAAUGACCCUUGGGUCAGUCAACUGACACACCAGCAAACCUUCCCGUCCUGAAAUGUUUCCGGAAAAAUCUGUUCAUGUACAUCGACUCAGAGCAGCAUCACUGAUCAUUCAGCUUCGCGACUAAAUUUUUCUUUCAGAUACACAUUUACACAGCUUCUGCUCUCAGUCAUAUCAAAUUUUAAAUGGUGCUUGAAAUUUCUGAUACUGUAAGGAACAGUGGAAAGUGCAGUGAACGUGGAAUCAGAUAAAACUUGAUUUGAUUCUUGGCUUCGUUAUGUGCAAGCUGUGUAACCUCUCUAAACCACAGAUUCCUCACUUGUAAAAUUCAAAUCAUAAAUAUCAUCCUUGUGUCCUGCACCGGUACAUACCUUGCAGGAUUUAUGAGUCAAGGUAGGAGCUCUUAGCAAGUGUAUGGUACUUGUAAUUCCUUAUAAAUUCUAGUCACUUAACUGUCAGGAAACCUGGAAGUAAUAGAUUCUCUUUUCACUAGACUUGAUUUAUCAAACAAUUAAUUUUUUUGGCAAUUAAUUCAUCUUGUCUUGAGGAAAGAGCCCACACCCCCCUUUAGGUGGCCGGAAUCAGUGGACUAUCCCAUAUUGAUCAAGUCACGUGGAGGCCUAAAUUAUCUAACUUGGCAAUGGACAUUCCUCAAAGGAAAACAAAAAUGGUUUAUUUUGUAAAAGUAUAAAUUCUUUAUUCUUUUUUGUAGAUUUCAUUUAAAGCUCAUGUCUUACUGGGUUUUGUUAAGCCAUUUUAAAAGAUAGACCAUAGGCUAUGUAACCAGAGAGAAACAAUAAAAAUCCUAGUAUUUCUACUUACUAGCUGUAUGCCUUUGCUCAAGUUGCAUAUUCUUUAUGUCUCAUCUUCCUUACUCAUUAAAUGGGAAUAACAUCACCUACCUUUCAGGGAUUUGUCAUGAUUAAAUGAGGUAACCUAUGUAAAAAUGUUCACCCUUGAGGGUCAUCAAAUAUUAACUUCCUUUCCACUUUUCUGUUCUGCCUCUGGUAUGUGCUACUGAAUAAUAACUUAAAAGACCUCCUGGAUUUAUUUAUUUAUUUAUUUAUGCCUGUGGCAUGCAGAAGUUCCAGGCCAAGGAUUAAACCCACACCAUGGCAGGAACCUGAGCCACAACACUGACAAUGCCAUAUCCUUAAUGGCCAGGCCACUAGGGAACUCCAAAAGGUCUCCAGGAUUUUAGAAGCCAACUUACUCCGUCCUUUGGCCAAAAAUGUUUACCUUGUACUUAGGUCAUUUGCGGUGGUCUAUCAAUCCAUACAAUUUCUGAGUGAUAAUCUUACUUUAAAGUUUUAGCAUGAAAGCAUACAUGUGAUUGCAAUUGUAUAAAUAGAGUAAUUUUGAACCAUUUGGCAUUUCUCUUACUAUUAUUAAAAGAGUAUUUUCAUUGCAAACUGUAAAGCCCAACAUGAUUUCUCCACUCCUUUUGGUCACACUAUGGGUUAUUCAUGUCCUACCUACAGCUUUCCUUAGGUAUCAAGGUGACCCUGGGAGAUAGGUAUGAAAUUGGAAAUGCCCAACGUUUUGGAGUCAGUGAUGACAAGAGUAUGGAAAAAACAUGGAUCCAUUCGAGGGCACCCUCUGCUUGGCCCCAGUUAGGCUUUAUUAUUUAAAGCCUACUGUCAAAUACCUUGGUAAAAAUACAGAUUUGAUAUUCUCGUGUGACUGUUUUGGGGGUCCCAAAGGACCACACUAUGUUAAUCAUUCUGGAAGGAAGUGGAUUAUAACGCGGGAAAUGACUACAUAGGAGACAGGCUUUGUGAUGAAAUAAGAGCAAAACUUUUCCCUUUCCCUGGGGCUGAGAGACAGUUUUGUCUAGCUAUAGCCCACAGAGCGGACCUGAGCCAUUCUGGCAAUGGGGAAGGGAACCUGCCCUUGGUUAUAGGGAGACAGCCACGAGGGCACAGGGGGAUAGCGCUUGAAGGAACACUGUGAGUUGUCCGGGCUCUUGCGGUUUACUCUACAUCAUUCUGUCUUGCUUGUUGCCCUCCCAUGAUCUCUGGGCCAUCUACUAACUCUCAUCAAGAGUGGUAGAAUGAACAUUCUUAUUCUGUGAGAUAUUAAGGGGAAGGGCAUGUUCUAUACUUGAAACAAUAUAAAAAAGGAACAGGUCUAUUGAGUCUCCAGAAAAUAGAGUGGUGAUCACAGGAAGGUAACAGCAAGGAAAACUGAGUACCUGGAAGCAGUGAGCCCUCAGAGGUUGUUGGCAGCAAAGGCACCCAAUGUGGCUCUAAAAGAAGGGGAGACUAGCUGGGUUGAAAGAACAUAGGGACAUCUUUCUGGAGCUGGUGCCCUGGAAAUCAUUGUCAAAACUGUGCAUGUAUUCAAGGGUCUAAUUACCAGCAAGGAAAGCAGUGGAAGCUCUUAUUUUUGGAAAUUGAAUUACACAUUGACUAAAUAGAAUUCAUUUGUAGGCUGUUUCAAAUCAACGUUUGAACAUUUAUAGGAAGAAUUAAGGAAAACGAAUAAUUCAUUUACAAAAAUAUAGUUAAGAGUUCCCAUCAUGGCUCAGUGGUAAGCAACCCGAUGAGUACCCAUGAAGAUGUAGGUUUGAUCACUGGCCCUGCUCAGUGGGUGAAGGAUCUAGCAUUGCCAUGAGCUGUUGCAUAGGCCAGUAGCUGCAGCUCCAAUUCGACCCCUAGCCUAAAAACCUGUGUGUAUAAUAUGUUUUGUAUUAAACUUGGAGGUGAAGUAUUUUAAGCAAGGUCAUACAGGUUGGUAAUGCCUUGCCAUUAGGAAAAAGAAAUUAUUUUCCAGACUGGGGAAUUAAAAAACAUAGUCUGGAAUGGGAAAAAGAGACUGAAGAAAUGGAAUGCCAGAAUGUUUAUUUCCAUGCGGGGUGCAUGGGCACUGGGGGGGAGAGGGAAUUUCGGAGCUGUUCUUUUGUGAAGAUCAUAGAAGAAAGUUUAUAAAAAUAUUUGAUCUAAAGAGAAGGUACAUACUUGAAGCAUUUGCACUGCACAUUUAAUAUCACUUAUAAAAAGCAAAAAUUGUUCAUUAUUCCUUAAUCAGAUUAUCUUCCAGCCUCUGUGAUAGUAUUUCUUCAGCAAGAAUGUACUACUUUAUGUGGCCAGUAUUGAUUAGUUUCCUUUCUUUCCAAUGGAGCUUGAAAUAAACAUUUAUGUUAGCAUUCCUGUAUGCAUGAGGCACUUUUUACUUCUAGGAUUUAACAUUAAACUAACAGAGAAAUACAAAGACUACUUAAAGUUCCAUAUUGUUCCUUAAGAGAAUAUCUCACUGAGUUAAACCCCUUAUUUUAUCAGCCCUCUUCUAGAUACAGAACUUCAAAUAGCUGAAGACUAUUAAGGAUAACAUAAGAUUUUAGCUUUCUACGUUAUCUUGGCAUCUUAUCUGAUUCUCUUAGCCAUUCAGGAAUCCUUUCUGCAUUAUCUCUAAUGUUUCUUCCAUAUCUUCUUAUUCCAUAUAAGUAACACAUUCCAUUUGAGAUGACUCUAGUCAAUUUGACUUUCAUAGACACAUAAAAAUUCUGACCUUUCUGAAGUUUCAGCCAUUAAUCUUCAAAUUUCACAUAGGGAAGACCUGGGAGACUUUACCACCCUCUCUUGCCCCCUUUAGAGACUCAGCAGUCUCCUCUGAACAGCUUUGAACUUUCCUUCUUUUUCAUGGGAGGUUAAGCCCAGUGACCUUUAACAUCUCUGCCUACUCAAAAGGUCUCUGGUUUAUUUGCAAGUCGGGGCGGAGGCGGGGCAUGCUUAAGCUUUGCUGUCACCAGAUUUCUGCUCUAGCUAUGUGAGCCUAUCAACCAAUGCUGGGAGAACUUCACACAUGAUCGCGUAGUCCGGAGCUCAUUCUUAACUGAGAUUCUCAUUUGGGAUGCUUCUUCACUGCGUCUCUGUGGUUGGUCACAAUUAAAGUAGAUGGAGGGAGGUCAUCAACCACGAUGUAGCUGGAUGCAUCCUUUACACUGCCCAGGAAUGCAGCUCAGCGGGAACCACAAGCUCUGAUGAAGAGGAGUGCUCCUCGCACAAGCAACAGAACGCCCCGGGACCGUCUGUAAAAUGAGCAAAGCUACAGCAGAAUUUAAUUAGGAAGUUGAAACAUUGGGCUCAUGGAGGGGUCCUCUUCUCCCAGCUGUGUAGUAUCCCCACAUGUCUGCUGUUUACUUUGACCUGGUGACAUUCUUAGUCAACUCAGCAGGAUGUGAUGUCAAGCCCUUUGAUAACUUGGUGGCAAUGACUCAGUUGUGUGUCAACGGUGUGUUCAGCAACUAUUCUCUGAAUACCUAUUGCCUUCUGGCAUAAUGCUAGAGGCUGUACCAGCUUCAUUUUAUUGUUUUUUUCAUUGCUAACCUGUCAAGUAGGUAUUAUUCCCUGCAGUUUACAGAUAAAGAAACUGAGGCACUGAGAAGGUUAAGAAAAGGGCUCAAAUCACCUGGCUAAUGAGUAGCACUGUGGUACCUUAACACCAACUCCUGUUCUGGUUUCUAGGGCUGCUGCCAUAACAAAUUACACAAACUUCGUGGCUUCAAAGAACAAAAUUUCCUAUCUUACAGGACUAUGAGUCAGAAAUCCAACAUGGCCCCACUGGACUAAAAUCAAGCUAUGCACGGGGCAUCUUUGCUUUCUGGAGGCUCUUUGGGAGAACUGGCUUUCUUGCCUUUACCAGCUUCUGGAGACCAUUCCAUUCCUUGAUUUGCAGCCUUCAUUUUCCAUCUUCAAAGCUAGCAACACAGCAUCCCUCUGACCCUGCUUCCAUUCACACAUCUCUUUCUCUCCCCAGCUGGGGAAGGUUGUCAGAUUGUAAAGACCUAUGAGAAAAGACUGAGCCUAAGCGAAUCUCUGCAUCUCAAGCUUCUUAUCUGCAUUUUCAAAGUCCCUUUGCCGUGUAAUGUAUCCUAUUAACAAAUUCCUGAGAUGAGGACAUGCACAUUUAAGGGGCACUAUUCUACCUACCUCCCCUCCUUUUUAUUCCAUUCCCAUAAAUCUACUGCUCCAGACCACCUACGAGCCUUCUUCAAAAUUUUGUGGCAUGUCCAGCCUCUAACCUCUUCCUGACAAAUGGUGAAUACUCAAUAAAUAUUUUUGAAUAAAUGAAUAAAUAUACUAAAAUACCAGGAUUUGGAAGUGUUGCUUCAUUGCACCAAAUGGACUAAUAAUGAUUGAUUCGAGGGGUAAUUGUUUGUAACAUCAUUCUAGACUCUUAAAUUGGAGGAUAAAGGUUAAUCAGUUUUCCCAGAGGAGCAGAGAUGCUUACUCGGUGUGUAGUUGAAGCAACAAGAUGUGCUCUUGCUGUACAGCUCUGGCUAAUUAGUUGACAGCAUUGCUAACGCAUGUAUUAUUGGGAAUAUUAUGGAUGCAACUGAUCUCUGCUUUAAGGGUAAUCCCUUUGGUCUGGAAUCCUUCCGGGAAAAGAGUAUUCAGAAACUUCAAGUAAGCUAAAAAACUCAAACAGAAAGCACUGAUGAAGUUUUCCUUAUAAUAAGGUUUUCUUUUUUUUCUUCUUUCAAGGGUAGACUACAUAUAAGCAAUUAGUCAGGAUGCCAGAAAAUUAGCCCCUUAUGUAUGCACAGUAAUUGAAGUCAGGGGGAAUACUGCAGAAUUGCUUCCCUGAAUUAAACUCUUGGUGUUAUCUAGCACUAGAGGGGAAAAAGUAAAGUCUGACAAUUUGGUAAAAAGUCAUUGUUUCUGGUAUUAAGCUUCACUGGGCAUGGGGUGGUGUAGGAACCCUAGAGGAGAUGGUGGAAGAAAGGUGGGCUUCUUGACACGCUGGGUAGACCUAUCUGAAUGCUGAGACUUCAGGAUGGAGUUGGAGCCAGUAGGCUCCCUGGAUACCACUACAAGCAAUUGCAACCAGUCCUAAACCAGUUUUUAGACAAAGUGUGAAAUUAGAUCAAGAACCAUCAGGGUCCGCAACAAAAUAAUACUUUGACCAGGAUUUGCCAUUUUUGUGUAGUUAAGGAAUCUCUUUUGAACAGGGAGUGAGAGAUGGUGCAGUGCUUUAGGUAGGCUUUCAAAAUGCCCCAUGUGGGAGUUCCUGUUGUGGCUCAGCGGUUAAUGAACCUGACUAGCAUCCAUGAGGAUGUGGGUCCAAUUCCUGGCCACACUCAGUGGGUUAAGGAUCCAGCAUUGCACUGGCAGCCACAGCUCUGAUUUGACCCCUAGCCUGGGAACCUCCGUAUGCCAUAAGUGCAGCCCUAAAAAGACCCCUCCCC
Molecule: long non-coding RNA, 6439 nt
Filed under: Sus scrofa (pig)
Lineage: Eukaryota; Metazoa; Chordata; Mammalia; Artiodactyla; Suidae
Description: lncRNA (ENSSSCG00000062348.1)
Source: RNAcentral